This 301-nucleotide ribosomal RNA is filed under the name uncultured bacterium. RNAcentral describes it as "partial 16S ribosomal RNA". It matches the Rfam family "Bacterial small subunit ribosomal RNA", at positions 509 to 807 of the family's 1533-position model. The record is from RNAcentral.
CAGUAGCCGCGGUAAUACGAAGGGUGCAAGCGUUAAUCGGAAUUACUGGGCGUAAAGCGUGCGUAGGCGGUUUGUUAAGUCUGUUGUGAAAUCCCCGGGCUCAACCUGGGAAUGGCAAUGGAUACUGGCAAGCUAGAGUGUGUCAGAGGAUGGUGGAAUUCCCGGUGUAGCGGUGAAAUGCGUAGAGAUCGGGAGGAACAUCAGUGGCGAAGGCGGCCAUCUGGGACAACACUGACGCUGAGGCACGAAAGCGUGGGGAGCAGACAGGAUUAGAUACCCGGGUAGUCCCUGUCUCUUAUAC